Molecule: small RNA, 127 nt
Filed under: Marmota monax (woodchuck)
Lineage: Eukaryota; Metazoa; Chordata; Mammalia; Rodentia; Sciuridae
Source: RNAcentral
GCUGGGUGAAGUGGUACAUGCCUGUAAUCCCAGCAACUCAGGAGGCUGAGGCAGGAGGAUUGCAAAUUUGAGGUCAGCCUCAGCAACUUAGCAAGGCCUUAAGCAACUUAGUGAGACCCUGUCUCAA